GAGUGGAUUAAUCCAUUCAUAGAUUAAUGGAUUAAUGAAUUAAAGGGUUGUUUUGGGAGUGGCUGGCUUUAUGACAGGAAGAGAGGCCUGUGCCUGCCCAGUGAGCUCUCUCCCCACAAGAUGCCCUGUGCUGUCAUGAGACUCUGCAGUGUCCCUACCAGCAGGAAGGCUCUCCCCAAAUGCAGCCCCUUGACCCUGGACUUCCCAGCCUCCAGAACUUGAGAAGAGGAACAAAUGGAGGAACAUCCCAGUCAAGUGACAUUCCUAGUGACAUUCACCAGAACAGAGUCAAGCUUUGGAUCCCAUGUUCUGUGACUUCCUCUUCACCACGCUUCCUCCACACACGUAGCAGCUCAAGGGUUUCUGAUGAGUGGGGUCUAUGUUCCCUUUAUGAGCUGUAACGCACACCAUGAAGGUCUGCGGCUUGGCUAUUGAGUCAGUGAGAGCGUGAACCUACUAUUAGAAGAAAAACUCUGAAUACGUCUGAACGUCAGAAAGAACGAAGUUUGGACACAUUGUCUUUAAGAACUGUAACACUCACCCCAAGGGUUUAUGGAUUCAUUCUUGAAAUCAGUGAAACCAAAAGCUUUCCAAAGUUUAACACACAGGGAAAUGACUUACUGCAAAGAACCACUCUUCCCCACGAGACUUCGAGAAGACCCGCUGUCACGGACUGAGUUGUGUCCUCUUAAAAUUCAGAUGUUGGAGUCCAAACCCCCAGUAACUCAGAGUGUGAACGUAUUUGAAGAGGUCUUUAAAGAGGUGAUGAAGGGAGAGAGACCCCAUGAGCUCGUCAAGCUCCUUCUGUGACUGAUCAGAGAUCCCACCGUGAGUCCAGCUCCUGGUCCCAUGCUCUGGAUAUAUCGGUCCCUGGCAGCGUGCAACUCCUUAGCCAAAGACGUGGCAACUGCGGGUGAAGUAUCUCUGGGCAGGAAAUCAAUGCAGAAAUGCAACUGGGGAGAGGGGGCUUGGGGGCCAGUUCCAGGGAGAUUGGAACUGCUGUGUUCUCAUCAGCAGAAGUGGCCCCUGCCCACCCCCAUCCUAAUCCCUUCUCAUGUGGGAGAAGGUCUGUGAGCCCUCUCCCUACCAGGCAGGUUCUAUGGCAAUGUGGGCACAUACCCUGGGGCAGGGGCCGAGGGACUUAACUCACUUCAUGAGCGCCAAUGGAGGAGCGAAGGGAAUGCCUGAUGAAAACAACAUUCUACCAGUAUGCACUGUUUUCUAACCUACAGAGUGCCUCUGUGUUCACUGUCCCAUUUGAGAAUUCUAAGUAGAAUUCUGAACAGGCUGGAGCAGAUUGCCCACCCCAAGGGACAGAUGUUGGCUGGUACUGUUGGUAUUCAUGGAAGAUUCCUUCUGACACUCCCUCCUUCUUUGUAAUUGCCAUGAACUGGAGCACUGGGCCAAUAUAAAUCAUCCAAGGGUGAACACGCUGCACAUGGACGGCUCCUCUUUGUUUUUGAAGGGAUUCCAUCUCUAUUUUGCCAUGUGCUCCUUCACCCCACUCCCCACCCCCGUCUUUCAUUUCUUUCUCUGGAAAAGAUACUUCAACUCACAGGACUGCGAUGUUGAAACGGACACCCAAGAGCAUCACAGAUGGGCCAGGCCUGGACCUCUCGGGACAACAUUCCUCACGACUUUUAGAUAGAAGAGAUUAGAGAUUUGGGACUGGUGGCAACUGGUAACGUUUUCAGUGUUUGGUAAACAGCCAGGGUCCGGAGCUCUGGGAACAGCCUGAUUUAGCUCUUUGUUUAAGUUUUGUGUUAGAGGCUCCCAAGAAGCUGAUGCAGGGGAAAGAAAUUAACAACCAUGGCUCAUUCACAGCCAGGCAGCCAAAUGGACAGCUCUAUAAGACUCAAGCCGACAGCGGAGAGAGUGCAACCAAACAGCCUUGGCCCAGCUUUCAGAGGAGAACGUUAUUCACCCCAACUGCUCUGCAUCUGCCUGGAUGUCUGCCAAGAUCUGUGAGCAUUACAGCGUUGGUAUGCUUUGGGUGAGGCCUGUGGCUAUGGCAACAAGUUGGGAGCAACCCGGUCCCUGGGAAUGAGAACAGUGUCUAAAAUCAGGCAGGCGAGGGGCAGGGAGGAGAGGUAAAGGUUGGACUUGCCUGAAGAUGGAGCCGUUUUAUUGUUGUGGGUAAAGCUGCUACCAUUAGGGGCUGUUUACAGAGUGGGUGCAGCUCAAGCUGGGAGCAUGUUAGACUCAGCGACUACGAUCAACCUAUUGACUUGUUCCCAUGAGACAGAGUAAAUUAACUGUUGCAGUACUGGUCAUGUACCACCAACCUCCUGUGAACCAGCCCUCAGUGAAACAUUUAUGUGAAAGGCCAUGGUGUUCCCAUAAGAGGGUGCAUGUUCUCUCCCUUGACUAACUCUUCAGUAUGCCUCAUUCUCACGCGCUGGUGUGCAGGAAGGAGUCCAACAUGCCCCAUUGACAGUCAUGCCCUGUAUGUGGAAAGUCUUCAGGUAGAGCACUGGGCUCAGGUUUGAAGAUGUGAGUUCUAAUCCUAGCAAGGCCAUUACCUCCCAGUGACCUCAUGUCUCGAUUUCCUCAACCACAAAACAAAGGCAUUGGUGAGCUGACCUCUAAGGCCUCUCCAGUUCUCACCUUCUGUGUCUCUACAGACUGGAGACUAGAAGAUUAUGGGCACUUUUAUUGAGUCUUCAUUUUGUUUCCAUUUCUUUGUAGUCAUCAGCUGGAGUUGAGGACAAGUUUUAACAAUAGAUAGGUUUCUUUUUGUCUCUUUUUAAAAAAUUUUAUUUAAAAUAAAUGCCAAGUGUAGUGGCUCAUACCUGUAAUCCCAGCACUUUGGGGAGGCCAAGGUGGGAGGAUUGCUUUUGAGUUUGAGACCAGCCUGGGCAACGUGGUGAGACCCUGUUUGUACAAAAAAUUUUAAAUUAGCCAGGCAUGGUGGCGUGUGCCUAUAGUCCUAGCUACUCUGGAGGUAGAGGCAGGAGGAUCCCUUGAACCUGGGAGGUUGAGGCCACAGUGAGCUGUGAUUGUGCUAUUGAACUCUAGCCUGGGCAACAGAGCAAGACCCUGUCUCUUAAAAAAGACUAUUUUUUAAGAACACUUUUAGGUUCACAGCGAAAUUUGGAGGAAACUUGGCAUAUGUCAUAUGCCCCCUGCUCCCAUGCAUGCACAGCCUCUACCAUUAGCAAUGUCCCCACUCAAAUGGUACCUUUGUUGUAAUCAACAACCCUGUACUGACACAUCAUCAUCACCCAAACUCCAUAGUUCACAUUAGGUUUCACUCUUGGUGUGGUGUACAUUCCAUGGGCUUGAACAACUGUAUAAUGACAUUAUCCACCACUGCAGGAUCAUACAGAGUAGUCUCACUGCCCUAAAACUACUCUGUGCUCCACCUGUUUGUCCCUUCUUUCACUCUAAACUCCUGGCAACAACUGACCUUUUUACUGCCUCGAUAGCUUUGCCUUCUUCGGAAUGUCAUGUAGUUGAAAUCAUACAUCAUGAAGCCUUUUCAGAUUGGCUUCAUAUAGGUUUCCUUCCUUCCUUCCUCCCACCACCUUCCUUUCUUUCUGUAUUCCUAACUCUUGGAUGUAUUUUCCCCAGCAUCAUGACUUGAUGGGACUUUUGCUAAGAUAGGCAAUCAUAGAAAGUCAUAAAUCUCUUGUCAGCCUUAUUGGCUCACCUCCGAGAUGGUUCCAACACUCUUUAAGGCCCACUUUUCCAAUCCACAGAUUCCCCAGCAGAAGUCCAAGCUGCUGAGCCUCACAUCAUCUUUUGCACUAGUAAUCUUUACCACUACUUCACUGUAGCAUUUGAAAAUUUUCAUAUGAAGCCAUAGUUCUGUGUCUUUUUUUUUUUUUUUUUUUUUUUGGAGACGGAGUCUUAACCUGUUGCCCAGGCUGGAGUGCAGUGGCACAGUCUUAGCUCACUGCAAGCUCCGCCUCACGGGUUCAAGUGAUUCUUGCCUCAGCCUCCCAAGUAGCUGGGAUUACAGGCGCGCCACCAUGCCCAGCUAAAUUUGUUGGCAUUUUUAGUAGAGAUGGGGUUUCACCAUGUUGGCCAGGCUGGUCUCAAACUCCUUACCUCAGGUGAUCUGCCUGCCUCAGCCUCCCAAAGUGCUGGGAUUAAAGGUGUGAGCCACCGCACCUGGCCUGAAGCCAUAGUUCUUAACCUCAGUUGUGCAAUAGAAUUAUCUGGGGAAUUUAAAAAUUAGAAAAAACCCAUGCCCUGAAGAUUGUGAUCUAACUGGUCUUGCGUAGCGCCUGGGCAUUGGUAUUUUUUAAAUGUUUCCCAACUGAUACUAAUGUGGCCAUUCUGCAAGCCACAGUUGAAAGGCUUAUUCAAGCAUCCUGUUGCUGAAUGCAUGUCGUCCUUACCACAUGACUCUGGAGGUUUUCUUGUAUUCUGAUGUGGCUGCCCUGUUGAGGCCUGCCCCUUAGAGUGGAGAUUAUCCCCUGCAGUAGGCUGCCUGGAAUAUGAUCCCCAGUGAUCCCUGCUUCCUGGUAUUCAGGCCCUGGUGUGAUCCCUUUCCCUUGAAGCCUGGGCUGGAUUAGUGACUUGCUUCUAACCAACAGCAUAUGGCAAAAAUAAAUGUUUAUUGUUUUAAA
RNAcentral lists this long non-coding RNA (4577 nucleotides) under Homo sapiens (human). RNAcentral describes it as "HSALNT0332118". Lineage: Eukaryota; Metazoa; Chordata; Mammalia; Primates; Hominidae. The record is from RNAcentral.